AGAAGCUAGAAAAAUAACUUAAAAUACACAAGGUAAUAGCAGAGUACACACAAGAAGAAAAGUAAUUGCACUGGAUCACAAGGACAGGGGUGGACAUCUUUCUUAAUGUCCAGUGUCCUUUGUCUUAAGAGUUGGUGCAAUAAGU
Non-coding RNA from Mesocricetus auratus (golden hamster), 145 nucleotides. Lineage: Eukaryota; Metazoa; Chordata; Mammalia; Rodentia; Cricetidae. The record is from Rfam.